Molecule: ribosomal RNA, 503 nt
Filed under: uncultured bacterium
Lineage: Bacteria
Description: partial 16S ribosomal RNA
Rfam family: Bacterial small subunit ribosomal RNA
Source: RNAcentral
AUUGAACGCUGGCGGCAGGCUUAACACAUGCAAGUCGAGCGGGGUGAUGGUGCUUGCACUAUCACUUAGCGGCGGACGGGUGAGUAAUGCUUAGGAAUCUGCCUAUUAGUGGGGGACAACAUCUCGAAAGGGAUGCUAAUACCGCAUACGUCCUACGGGAGAAAGCAGGGGAUCACUUGUGACCUUGCGCUAAUAGAUGAGCCUAAGUCGGAUUAGCUAGUUGGUGGGGUAAAGGCCUACCAAGGCGACGAUCUGUAGCGGGUCUGAGAGGAUGAUCAGCCACCCUGGGACUGAGACACGGCCCAGACUCCUACGGGAGGCAGCAGUGGGGAAUAUUGGACAAUGGGGGGAACCCUGAUCAAGCCAUGCCGCGUGUGUGAAGAGGGCCUUAUGGUUGUAAAGCACUUUAAGCGAGGAGGAGGCUCUUUUGGUUAAUACCCAAGAUGAGUGGACGUUACUCGCAGAAUAAGCACCGGCUAACUCUGUGCCAGCCGCCGCCGUAA